Molecule: unclassified non-coding RNA, 300 nt
Organism: Callithrix jacchus (white-tufted-ear marmoset)
Lineage: Eukaryota; Metazoa; Chordata; Mammalia; Primates; Cebidae
Rfam family: Metazoan signal recognition particle RNA
About the family: The signal recognition particle (SRP) is a universally conserved ribonucleoprotein. It is involved in the co-translational targeting of proteins to membranes.
Source: Ensembl
GCCUGGCGCAGCAGGGCGUGCCUGUAGUCCCAGCUACUUGGGAGGCUGAGGUGGGAGGAUCGCUUGAGCCCAAGGGUUCUGGGCUGUAGUGCGCUAUGCCGAUUGAGUGUCCACACUAAGUUCGGUAUUAAUAUGGUGACCUCCUAGGAGCGGGGAACCACCAGGUUGCCUAAGGAGGAGUGAACCAGCCCAGGUUGGAAACAGAGCAGGUCAAAACUCUGGUGCUGAUCAGUAGUGGGAUUGUGCCUGUGAAUAGCCACUGCACUCCAGUCUGGGCAACAUAGCGGGACCCCAUCUCUA